RNAcentral lists this ribosomal RNA (292 nucleotides) under uncultured bacterium. Its description in RNAcentral is "partial 16S ribosomal RNA". It matches the Rfam family "Bacterial small subunit ribosomal RNA", at positions 505 to 796 of the family's 1533-position model. The record is from RNAcentral.
GUGCCAGCCGCCGCGGUAAUACGGAGGGUGCAAGCGUUGUCCGGAUUUAUUGGGUUUAAAGGGUGCGUAGGCGGCCCUGUAAGUCAGUGGUGAAAUACUGCAGCUUAACUGUAGCAUUGCCAUUGAUACUGUAGGGCUUGAGUACAGAUGAGGUAGGCGGAAUUGAUGGUGUAGCGGUGAAAUGCAUAGAUACCAUCAAGAACACCGAUUGCGAAGGCAGCUUACUAAGCUGUAACUGACGCUGAGGCACGAAAGCGUGGGGAUCGAACAGGAUUAGAUACCCCCGUAGUCC